RNAcentral lists this ribosomal RNA (122 nucleotides) under Stenotrophomonas maltophilia. RNAcentral's name for it is "partial 16S ribosomal RNA". It matches the Rfam family "Bacterial small subunit ribosomal RNA", at positions 1 to 115 of the family's 1533-position model. Lineage: Bacteria; Pseudomonadati; Pseudomonadota; Gammaproteobacteria; Lysobacterales; Lysobacteraceae. RNAcentral also lists the same sequence under 1 other name. The record is from RNAcentral.
UAAGUGAAGAGUUUGAUCCUGGCUCAGAGUGAACGCUGGCGGUAGGCCUAACACAUGCAAGUCGAACGGCAGCACAGGAGAGCUUGCUCUCUGGGUGGCGAGUGGCGGACGGGUGAGGAAUA